UGCCUCGGCGGAUCAGCCCGCUCCCCGUAAAACGGGACGGCCCGCCAGAGGACCCAAACUCUAAUGUUUCUUAUUGUAACUUCUGAGUAAAACAAACAAAUAAAUCAAAACUUUCAACAACGGAUCUCUUGGUUCUGGCAUCGAUGAAGAACGCAGCAAAAUGCGAUAAGUAAUGUGAAUUGCAGAAUUCAGUGAAUCAUCGAAUCUUUGAACGCACAUUGCGCCCGCUGGUAUUCCGGCGGGCAUGCCUGUUCGAGCGUCAUUUCAACCCUCAAGCCCCCGGGUUUGGUGUUGGGGAUCGGCUCUGCCUCACGGCGGUGCCGCCCCCGAAAUACAUUGGCGGUCUCGCUGCAGCCUCCAUUGCGUAGUAGCUAACACCUCGCAACUGGAACGCGGCGCGGCCAUGCCGUAAAACCCCAACUUCUGAAUGUUGACCUCGGAUCAGGUAGGAAUACCCGCUGAACUUAAGCAUAUCAA
RNAcentral lists this ribosomal RNA (477 nucleotides) under Fusarium lateritium. RNAcentral describes it as "eukaryotic LSU rRNA". The stretch from base 109 to 262 matches the Rfam family "5.8S ribosomal RNA". Lineage: Eukaryota; Fungi; Ascomycota; Sordariomycetes; Hypocreales; Nectriaceae. The record is from RNAcentral.